UCAUCGGGGGUGGUGGGGGGGCCGUCGCCUCGCUGCUCGUCUACACGCAGCGGCUACGCAAAGUGGCGGUGCAGGAGAACCCCGUGGUGAGGAUGAGUAUGUGGAAGGAGGUUCCAUCCUCAGGAUUGUACCUCGGCGUCAGGAACAGCCGUCGGGUCACCAGUCCCAUCAAGGCCGCAAAUUAUGAGUCUCAUCUCAACAAAACUGCUCAGCGACUCCAACUUCCUGAUGUCUGAGGAGUUCGAGGAUCUGAAGGACGUUGGAAGGAACCAAACGAUGGACGUCGCUCGACUGCCUGAGAACCGAGCGAAGAACCGUUACAACAACAUCCUGCCGUGUGAGUGUGUGUGUGUGUGUGUGUGUGUCUGUGUGUGUGUGUGU
Gasterosteus aculeatus aculeatus (three-spined stickleback) is the source of this 381-nucleotide non-coding RNA. The record is from RefSeq and is a predicted model, not a curated record. Lineage: Eukaryota; Metazoa; Chordata; Actinopteri; Perciformes; Gasterosteidae.